UGUAUCUGAGUAAACGCAAAAAUGUUGAUUUUGGGAAUAUUGUAUACGAUAAUAAACUCACAGUUGAUAUGAAGUCUUCAGAAAUUGGUUGCUUACAUGAAACAGUCAACUCACAUAGCUAUGCUAAUAUAUAAAUUCAUUAACAUGAAAAGUGUUCGGUUACUGUAUGCACAUAUGUCUAAACAAAUGAAAAAAACUAUGACUGCAGGCCACAUGUACCAAAUGAACAUCACCUCAAACCUAAUGUUACACAGAUAAUUCAAACCAAGUUUCGGUAACAUGAUUUUCCUCAACCCUUAGAGGAAGAGGUGGAAGUCAGAUGGAGCCAAGUCUGGGAUGUACGGUGGGUGGUCCACGACAGUGAAUCUGGG
Zootermopsis nevadensis is the source of this 371-nucleotide non-coding RNA. Lineage: Eukaryota; Metazoa; Arthropoda; Insecta; Blattodea; Termopsidae. The record is from RefSeq and is a predicted model, not a curated record.